CGAUGUCGACUAGCCGUUGGGAUCCUUGAGAUCUUAGUGGCGCAGCUAAUGCGAUAAGUCGACGCCUGGGGAGUACGGCCGCAAGGUUAAAACUCAAAUGAAUUGACGGGGGCCCGCACAAGCGGUGGAGCAUGUGGUUUAAUUCGAAGCAACGCGAAGAACCUUACCUGGCCUUGACAUGCUGAGAACUUUCCAGAGAUGGUUGGUGCCUUCGGGAACUCAGACACAGGUGCUGCAUGGCUGUCGUCAG
Molecule: ribosomal RNA, 250 nt
Filed under: uncultured bacterium
Lineage: Bacteria
Description: partial 16S ribosomal RNA
Rfam family: Bacterial small subunit ribosomal RNA
Source: RNAcentral